RNAcentral lists this ribosomal RNA (492 nucleotides) under uncultured bacterium. RNAcentral's name for it is "partial 16S ribosomal RNA". It matches the Rfam family "Bacterial small subunit ribosomal RNA", at positions 29 to 507 of the family's 1533-position model. The record is from RNAcentral.
AGUGAACGCUGGCGGUAGGCCUAACACAUGCAAGUCGAACGGCAGCACAGUAAGAGCUUGCUCUUACGGGUGGCGAGUGGCGGACGGGUGAGGAAUACAUCGGAAUCUACUUUUUCGUGGGGGCUAACGUAGGGAAACUUACGCUAAUACAGCAUAAGACCUACGAGUUAAAGCCGGGGCUCUUCGGACCUUGCGCGAUUGAAUGAGCCGAUGUCGGAUUAGCUAGUUGGCGGGGUAAAGGCCCGCCCAGGCGACGAUCCGUAGCUGGUCUGAGAGGAUGAUCAGCCACAUUGGAACUGAGAAACGGCCCAGACGCCUACGGGAGGCAGCAGUGGGGAAUAUUGGACGAUGGGCGCAAGCCUGAUCCAGCCAUACCGCGUGGGUGAAGAAGGCCUUCGGGUUGUAAAGCCCUUUUGUUGGGAAAGAAAAGCAGCAGGUUAAUACCCCGCUGUUCUGACGGUACCCAAAGAAUAAGCACCGGCUAACUUCGUG